GUCUGCCUACGGGGGGCAGCAGUAGGGAAUCUUCCACAAUGGGCGAAAGCCUGAUGGAGCAACGCCGCGUGGGUGAAGAAGGUCUUCGAAUCGUAAAACCCUGUUGUUAGAGAAGAAAGUGCGUGAGAGUAACUGUUCACGUUUCGACGGUAUCUAACCAGAAAGCCACGGCUAACUACGUGCCAGCAGCCGCGGUAAUACGUAGGUGGCAAGUGUUAUCCGGAUUUAUCGGGCGUAAAGGGAACGCAGGCGGUCUUUUAAGUCUGAUGUGAAAGCCUUCGGCUUAACCGGAGUAGGGCAUUGGG
This 305-nucleotide ribosomal RNA is filed under the name uncultured bacterium. RNAcentral's name for it is "bacterial SSU rRNA". It matches the Rfam family "Bacterial small subunit ribosomal RNA", at positions 333 to 630 of the family's 1533-position model. The record is from RNAcentral.